RNAcentral lists this non-coding RNA (529 nucleotides) under Limosilactobacillus panis DSM 6035. RNAcentral's name for it is "Lactobacillus panis DSM 6035 Bacterial small subunit ribosomal RNA". It matches the Rfam family "Bacterial small subunit ribosomal RNA", at positions 1 to 486 of the family's 1533-position model. The record is from Rfam by way of RNAcentral. Lineage: Bacteria; Bacillati; Bacillota; Bacilli; Lactobacillales; Lactobacillaceae.
UUAUAUGAGAGUUUGAUCCUGGCUCAGGAUGAACGCCGGCGGUGUGCCUAAUACAUGCAAGUCGAGCGCACUGGCCCAACUGAUAUGACGUGCUUGCACUGAUUUGACGAUGGAUUACCAGUGAGCGGCGGACGGGUGAGUAACACGUGGGCAACCUGCCCUAAAGCGGGGGAUAACAUUUGGAAACAGGUGCUAAUACCGCAUAACUACGAAAACCACAUGGUUUUCGUAUAAAAGAUGGUUUCGGCUAUCACUUUAGGAUGGGCCCGCGGUGCAUUAGCUAGUUGGUAGGGUAACGGCUUACCAAGGCAAUGAUGCAUAGCCGAGUUGAGAGACUGAUCGGCCACAAUGGAACUGAGACACGGUCCAUACUCCUACGGGAGGCAGCAGUAGGGAAUCUUCCACAAUGGGCGCAAGCCUGAUGGAGCAACACCGCGUGAGUGAAGAAGGGUUUCGGCUCGUAAAACUCUGUUGUUGAAGAAGAACGUGCGUGAGAGUAACUGUUCAUGCAGUGACGGUAUUCAACCAG